AGAGUUUGAUCAUGGCUCAGAUUGAGCGCUGGCGGCAGGCCUAACACAUGCAAGUCGAACGGUAACAGGAAGCAGCUUGCUGCUUCGCUGACGAGUGGCGGACGGGUGAGUAAUGUCUGGGAAGCUGCCUGAUGGAGGGGGAUAACUACUGGAAACGGUAGCUAAUACCGCAUAAUGUCGCAAGACCAAAGAGGGGGACCUUCGGGCCUCUUGCCAUCGGAUGUGCCCAGAUGGGAUUAGCUUGUUGGUGGGGUAACGGCUCACCAAGGCGACGAUCCCUAGCUGGUCUGAGAGGAUGACCAGCCACACUAGAACUGAGACACGGUCCAGACUCCUACGGGAGGCAGCAGUGGGGAAUAUUGCACAAUGGGCGCAAGCCUGAUGCAGCCAUGCCGCGUGUAUGAAGAAGGCCUUCGGGUUGUAAAGUACUUUCAGCGGGGAGGAAGGGAGUAAAGUUAAUACCUUUGCUCAUUGACGUUACCCGCAGAAGAAGCACCGGCUAACUCCGUGCCAGCAGCCGCGGUAAUACGGAGGGUGCAAGCGUUAAUCGGAAUUACUGGGCGUAAAGCGCACGCAGGCGGUUUGUUAAGUCAGAUGUGAAAUCCCCGGGCUCAACCUGGGAACUGCAUCUGAUACUGGCAAGCUUGAGUCUCGUAGAGGGGGGUAGAAUUCCAGGUGUAGCGGUGAAAUGCGUAGAGAUCUGGAGGAAUACCGGUGGCGAAGGCGGCCCCCUGGACGAAGACUGACGCUCAGGUGCGAAAGCGUGGGGAGCAAACAGGAUUAGAUACCCUGGUAGUCCACGCCGUAAACGAUGUCGACUUGGAGGUUGUGCCCUUGAGGCGUGGCUUCCGGAGCUAACGCGUUAAGUCGACCGCCUGGGGAGUACGGCCGCAAGGUUAAACUCAAAUGAAUUGACGGGGGCCCGCACAAGCGGUGGAGCAUGUGGUUUAAUUCGAUGCAACGCGAAGAACCUUACCUGGUCUUGACAUCCACGGAAGUUUUCAGAGAUGAGAAUGUGCCUUCGGGAACCGUGAGACAGGUGCUGCAUGGCUGUCGUCGGCUCGUGUUGUGAAAUGUUGGGUUAAGUCCCGCAACGAGCGCAACCCUUAUCCUUUGUUGCCAGCGGUCCGGCCGGGAACUCAAAGGAGACUGCCAGUGAUAAACUGGAGGAAGGUGGGGAUGACGUCAAGUCAUCAUGGCCCUUACGACCAGGGCUACACACGUGCUACAAUGGCGCAUACAAAGAGAAGCGACCUCGCGAGAGCAAGCGGACCUCAUAAAGUGCGUCGUAGUCCGGAUUGGAGUCUGCAACUCGACUCCAUGAAGUCGGAAUCGCUAGUAAUCGUGGAUCAGAAUGCCACGGUGAAUACGUUCCCGGGCCUUGUACACACCGCCCGUCACACCAUGGGAGUGGGUUGCAAAAGAAGUAGGUAGCUUAACCUUCGGGAGGGCGCUUACCACUUUGUGAUUCAUGACUGGGGUGAAGUCGGAACAAGGUA
Molecule: ribosomal RNA, 1499 nt
Filed under: metagenome
Description: bacterial SSU rRNA
Rfam family: Bacterial small subunit ribosomal RNA
Source: RNAcentral